RNAcentral lists this ribosomal RNA (887 nucleotides) under Anastrepha hamata. Its description in RNAcentral is "partial 16S ribosomal RNA". The record is from RNAcentral. Lineage: Eukaryota; Metazoa; Arthropoda; Insecta; Diptera; Tephritidae.
UAGUUUUUUUAGAAAUAAAUUUAAUUUACAAAUUUUUGAUUUUUAAUUUUUUUUUUAUAAAAAUUAAAAAAUUAUUUAUUUGAAUAUUUUUAGGGAUAAGCUUUAAGGUAAAUUAUUAAAAAUUUUGAAUAAUUAAGUUAAAAUGUAUGUGUAGAAUUAGCAAUCAUUGAUAAAUUUGUUAUAAAUUAUUUAUUUAUGAUUUAUUAUUUAUUUAAUUUUAAUUAAUUUAUAAAAAUUUUUUAUUUAAUUUUUGUUAAAAAGUAAUAAUGAUUUAAUUAGUAUAUAAAAUUGUUGUAUGUAUAUAUUGUUUUGGAAAGUUUAUAUAAAGAACUCGGCAAAUAAUUGGUAUAUUUAUACUCGCCUGUUUAACAAAAACAUGUCUUUUUGAGUUAAAUUUAAAGUCUGACCUGCCCACUGAAUAAAUUUUAAAUGGCCGCAGUAUUUUGACUGUGCAAAGGUAGCAUAAUCAUUAGUCUUUUAAUUGAAGGCUGGUAUGAAUGGUUGAACGAAGUAUAAUCUGUUUCAUAUGAAUUUAUAAUAGAAUUUUAUUUUUUAGUAAAAAAGCUAAAAUUUAAUUGAAAGACGAGAAGACCCUAUAAAUCUUUAUAUUUAAUAUUAUUUUAAUUUUUUGGAUUUAUUUUAUUUUUAUAAUAUUAAUUAUUUUGUUGGGGUGAUAUUAAAAUUAAACGAACUUUUAAUUGUUUAAAGAUCAUUAAUUUAUGAAUUGUUGAUCCAAUAUUUAUUGAUUAUAAGAUUAAGUUACUUUAGGGAUAACAGCGUAAUUUUUUUUGAGAGUUCAUAUCGACAUAAAAGUUUGCGACCUCGAUGUUGGAUUAAGGUAUAAUUUUGGGUGUAGCUGUUCAAAUAUUAAGUCUGUUCGACUUUUG